This 281-nucleotide long non-coding RNA is filed under the name Pogona vitticeps (central bearded dragon). RNAcentral describes it as "lncRNA (ENSPVIG00000003389.1)". Lineage: Eukaryota; Metazoa; Chordata; Lepidosauria; Squamata; Agamidae. The record is from RNAcentral.
UUAGAACUCAUAGCAAGAUCAGCCUUAGCAACCACAUGGCUUAGUAACUGUCGUUACCAAGACAACCAGGCAGUUGGAGAGGAAUGAGAGGUAGCAGAUAAGGUGCACUGAUGCAGUCUUAUUCCAAGCCUAGCAACUCAGAAAUAAAAGGCAUAUUUAGCAAAGCGAAAAUGGGAGUUUACCACUCAGGUGGCCAGUGCCCAAGAAGCCACCUUAUCUACCAUAUCGGAAAAGAGGAUCACGGCGACGAGAAUUCUUGGGAUUACAACUUUAAGGCAUAA